GCCCAGAUAGCUCAGUCGGUAGAGCAGAGGACUGAAAAUCCUCGUGUCCGCGGUUCGAUUCCGUGUCUGGGCACCA
Molecule: transfer RNA, 76 nt
Filed under: Desulfuromonas sp.
Lineage: Bacteria; Pseudomonadati; Thermodesulfobacteriota; Desulfuromonadia; Desulfuromonadales; Desulfuromonadaceae
Also listed under: 3 other names
Description: tRNA-Phe
Rfam family: tRNA
About the family: Transfer RNA (tRNA) molecules are approximately 80 nucleotides in length. Their secondary structure includes four short double-helical elements and three loops (D, anti-codon, and T loops). Further hydrogen bonds mediate the characteristic L-shaped molecular structure. tRNAs have two regions of fundamental functional importance: the anti-codon, which is responsible for specific mRNA codon recognition, and the 3' end, to which the tRNAs corresponding amino acid is attached (by aminoacyl-tRNA synthetases). tRNAs cope with the degeneracy of the genetic code in two manners: having more than one tRNA (with a specific anti-codon) for a particular amino acid; and 'wobble' base-pairing, i.e. permitting non-standard base-pairing at the 3rd anti-codon position.
Source: RNAcentral